GUCUCAAAGAUUAAGCCAUGCAUGUCUAAGUACAAGCCUCACUAAGGUGAAACCGCGAAUGGCUCAUUAAAUCACACCUAAUCUACUGGAUAGUUAACAGUUACUUGGAUAACUGCGGUAAUUCUGGAGCUAAUACAUGCACAAAGCCCCGAACUUACGUGAGGGGCGCUUUUAUUAGAUCAAAACCAAACGGCUUCGGCUGUUCUCUUGGUGACUCUGAAUAACUUUGGGCUGAUCGCAUAGCCUAGCGCUGGCGACAUAUCCUUCGAAGGUGUGCCCUAUCAACUGUCGACUGUGGCAUAGACGCCCACAGUGGUUUUGACGGGUAACGGGGAAUCAGGGUUCGAUUCCGGAGAGGGAGCCUUAGAAACGGCUACCACAUCUAAGGAAGGCAGCAGGCACGCAAAUUACCCAAUGACCGAAGGUCGAGGUAGUGACGAAAAAUAACGAUACGGGACUCAUCUGAGGCCCCGUAAUCGGAAUGAGUACACUUUAAAACCGUCCCCGAGGAUCUAUUGGAGGGCAAGUCUGGUG
This 534-nucleotide ribosomal RNA is filed under the name Calanoida sp. CP1. RNAcentral's name for it is "SSU rRNA". It matches the Rfam family "Eukaryotic small subunit ribosomal RNA", at positions 34 to 566 of the family's 1831-position model. The record is from RNAcentral. Lineage: Eukaryota; Metazoa; Arthropoda; Copepoda; Calanoida.